Molecule: RNase P RNA, 404 nt
Filed under: Chloroflexota bacterium
Lineage: Bacteria; Bacillati; Chloroflexota
Description: Chloroflexi bacterium (hot springs metagenome) RNase P RNA component class A
Rfam family: Bacterial RNase P class A
About the family: Ribonuclease P (RNase P) is a ubiquitous endoribonuclease, found in archaea, bacteria and eukarya as well as chloroplasts and mitochondria. Its best characterised activity is the generation of mature 5'-ends of tRNAs by cleaving the 5'-leader elements of precursor-tRNAs. Cellular RNase Ps are ribonucleoproteins.
Source: RNAcentral
CAAGUAAACCGGGUGACCGCCCCGAUACAAUCGGGGAGGAAAGUCCGAGCUCUACCGAGCAGGGUGCUGGGUAAUACCCAGGAGGGGAGACCCUACGGAAAGUGCCACAGAAACAUACCGCCAGCGGCCCUGAUGGCAUCGGGGUGCGGGUAAGGGUGAAAUGGUGAGGCAAGAGCUCACCAGCAACCAGGAAACUGGCUGGCUGGGCAAACCCCACCCGGAGCAAGACCGAAUAAGAGGGCUCAACUGCUCCAAAGUCUCAAGACUCUGGGGUGAGUCUAAGGCGCUCGGCCGAAGCCCUCGGGUUGGUCGCUUGACCUCGAUGGUAACAUCGGGGCUAGAUGGAUGGUCACCACCCCGACUCGGUCGGGGGACAGAACUCGGCUUACAGGUUUGCUUGCCCG